Molecule: ribosomal RNA, 411 nt
Filed under: uncultured bacterium
Lineage: Bacteria
Description: partial 16S ribosomal RNA
Rfam family: Bacterial small subunit ribosomal RNA
Source: RNAcentral
UGGGGGAAUAUUGCACAAAUGGGCGCAAGCCUGAUGCAGCCCAUGCCGCGUGUGUGAAGAAGGCCUUCGGGUUGUAAAGCACUUUCAGCGAGGAGGAAGGUGGUGAACUUAAUACGUUCAUCAAUUGACGUUACUCGCAGAAGAAGCACCGGCUAACUCCGUGCCAGCAGCCGCGGUAAUACGGAGGGUGCAAGCGUUAAUCGGAAUUACUGGGCGUAAAGCGCACGCAGGCGGUUUGUUAAGUCAGAUGUGAAAUCCCCGGGCUCAACCUGGGAACUGCAUUUGAAACUGGCAAGCUAGAGUCUCGUAGAGGGGGGUAGAAUUCCAGGUGUAGCGGUGAAAUGCGUAGAGAUCUGGAGGAAUACCGGUGGCGAAGGCGGCCCCCUGGACGAAGACUGACGCUCAGGUGCG